This 360-nucleotide ribosomal RNA is filed under the name Triticum aestivum (bread wheat). RNAcentral describes it as "partial small subunit ribosomal RNA". The record is from RNAcentral. Lineage: Eukaryota; Viridiplantae; Streptophyta; Magnoliopsida; Poales; Poaceae.
AUGGAGACGUUCAAUGCUUGGAUCAGAGAGCUUGGGAUGGAGGAUAUCCAGGUUGAUAACAGACUGUUCACUUGGUCCAACAAGAGAUCUUCCCCCACGAUGGUUAAGCUGGAUCGGGUGCUGGUGAAUGCUGCUUGGGGUUAUAUUUCGCACAGACUUCUGCCUCUGUUGUGCCUGCUACCACCUCAGACCACACCCCCAUUGUUAUUCAGUUUCGUACUGAAGCAGUCAAAAGUUGCUUAUUCAGGAUGGAGAACCACUGGCUGCAUAUGGAGGAGACUAGGCAUAUUAUACAAGAUGGUUGGUCCAGGGGCUGCAGAACCAUCCUUUCAUCAGUGUCUGUCAUCAACUUUAAAAUGA